Molecule: non-coding RNA, 10823 nt
Organism: Xyrichtys novacula (pearly razorfish)
Lineage: Eukaryota; Metazoa; Chordata; Actinopteri; Labriformes; Labridae
Source: the annotation of a GenBank genome assembly
GACCUUUAGUGCUUCGUCAUUGCUGCGACACCGCCUCUCUCUGAAACCUGAUCGAUAGUGUCAACUUGUUCUGAAGGGAAACACCGGAAUUAUGGCACCGAGGUAAAGGUGGAGGAAACACACAGGAAAGAAGUCUGUCUCCUCAGGUAAGACUCGCCCUCUUACACACUCUUGUGUUUUUAUUGCACACAUUUACUGCGGCGAGCUUUUACAUUUCCAGUUUGCUCUCAGCGGCGGUAGUAGCAGUUCGUUUAGAGUUCACUGCACCGUAUUAGAGGGAUUAAACGAGAAGAGGUCAGGGAUGUUUAUGCUGUUAGCCUACAUUUAAAAGUAGAAACACGACACCCAAAUGUUUGAUAGGUGGUUAAAAAGGACCGAGUUCACGUUUAGUGUCUGCACAAGGUUUGAUGUUCCUGCCAACAGUCUUCAGACUUCGCUGUGCCUCAAACAAAAAGAUAUCUAGCUUAUUUAUCCGACAAUAAAAAGGAACAGUGUCGAAAUGAAACAAGUGUUUACGCUAAUAUUAAAAUCUGCACAUGUCUAUUUUGAUACGCUGGUUUUAAAAGAAGUGACCGAAAGUAAAAUCUGUGGUUACUGAAUUAUUUGGGUCUUAUAUAACCUGGGAAUGAAAUUAUUUUCUCAAAGGAUGCUAGCAUCAGGCCAAUGUAUUAUCACACAUGUAUUGAAUGUUAUGUCUAUCUUUGGGACAUAAUUUUCUCUUUGUAUUGCAGUACAAUUUACUAUUAUGAUUCUUGGGGAUUGGAACAAAACCUGUCCAACAGUUGAAGCAGCUAUAAUUUUAAAAAAUAAUAUAAUUUUCUAUUGUUAAUGUUUUUUGAGUAAAUAUUGGAAUGUAUUGAACACAAUUAUUCCCUUCAAUUUGAAUUUAUCCUUAUUACAUUAAAUCUAUAAGGCUUAGUCUCUUCUAACAACAUCAGAAACAAGGUGUCCACAGAGAGGGGUCCAGUGAUCCUUAUGCAAAAUAUGUACAGAAGUAAGCUUUGCUGUAAGCUUUUCAAGGAAAUCCAUUUUUUUAUUAUACAUAAUAAAAAAACAUUGGUUUCCUUAAAAAGCGUACUGAACAUCUCCUUUUUAAUGUGUGCUGUUUACUUGAAUGUAUUUUGAUUAACUAUAAUGCUGUGACAUUUGAAAAAACGUUACUGAUCUGACACUCUUUCUUCCCCCUGUCUCUGACCUGAUCACACCAUGUGGGAUUGCUCAUGCUAACUACAUCGAUCUUCAACAUGGAAUUGGUGUAAGUAUAAAAUGCCAGGCUCUUUAUGUUAAACAAAAGCCAAACCCGUGUAAUGUAUGAUAUAAACUGUUGCAUUCAUGGACUAUUUUAGGGUAUUGCACUGUCUUGCACACAGUAAACGGUAGAAUAAUUUAACAUUACAUCAACAUUUUAGUCCCCCUUUAUGUGGCUACAUAUGACAUCAGUGUAUAUUGUGGUACAGUAUAAUUUUGCAGCUCAAGACAGUAUUAUUUUAAUUAAAGUGCUCUCUUCACUUUAGAGGAGCUUCAUUUCUAUUUAUGUGCUGUGAUGUCAGGAUGCAUCACUUUUACUGACACGACUAUAUAUGAAUUUUUAAAGGUCUUCUCCUGAUGUAGCUUUUAGCUUGGGAUUUCAGUGCAGACUCAAGUGUCUUCUGCAUGCAGUAACUGGCUUUUUUUCUAUCAUACUUCCUUUUUGUUAGUGUAUUACUGCAGAAACUCUCACUCAAACUUGACUAUCUCACCUAUCAACAAAAAUGUUUUUGUGCUUUGUGGUAUAGUGUAAUUGCCUUUUUGACAUUUAGCAUCCAGUGGAUGUAAUGAAAGUUUAAAUGAUGGCACCAAGCAGCUGUUGACUCGCUGGUGUUCACAUUCAUUGCACUCGUUUUGGGAGGGGUAGUGUGACAGUGUCACCAUCAGGGAUCUCGACGCAAACACAUCUUUAUCUCUAAUGACCACAUGCUCCCAGCUUGCAUGACAGCUCAGUGUUAAGCAAUAUUAUUGUUGGUGGGGAUUCCCUCUCUUUUACAGCAAAUGAUUAAUGUUGGACUUGCGACUUGAUCCUUUGUGAUUGAUUUUUUAAAAUUCUUCAACUAAAAUUACAUACACUAUACCCAGUGUUCUGGAUAUUACUGUGUAUGUAUAUGAGGAAAGUGUUGUCAUAAAAAAGAAGUAAGUGCUGCAAAGUUGUGCUCUGAUAUUUUUCAAGUGGAUAUAAUAAAGGCAGAUUCUUUUGCAGCUAUGUGGCGCUGGUUGUUCAGUCUAUGAGGCGCUAUAACUGUACAUAUCCAAACCUGUCUUUAGUACCAUGUCUCCAGCAGGUGGCAGUGUAAACUAAAAAAAAGCACAGCCUUAAACAGGAGCAGCAGAUGAUCAAACUCAGUGCAGCAUGUACUUAGGUGGCCUAGAAUGUCCACCACAAUCUGUUCAAAGCACUGUGAGCUCGAGGGCUUACACAGUGUGUUUUAAAGAGAUCUCACAUGACAUACCAGUGCAUGCAUAUUAAUACGAGCAUUGCUUUUGCAAUAUGACUCACUGCUUUACAAGGUAUCUGAAUGCAAAUGUAAAUUACAGUUUAAGUAGCUGUAGGAAACCCAUGACUUUUUCUUGUCAAGUUGUUAAAUCCUAUUCUUUGUGCUAAAGCAGCAAAGGCAGACAACAUGUCUGCUGGCAGAAAGAGGCAAGACCAUGGAACAAUCCAGGGUCAUAAAUUCUUCAGAACAUAAUAGUGCGGUAUGAAUAUUGAUGCACUGUUACCGUCUAUCCAGUCAGUGCUCUUGAGAGCUCAGCUCCUGAGCACAAAUAAAACCCCAGCAAGCCCUGCCUCCAUCACAUGCACACUGCACGCAAAAUUCAUAUUUAAAGCCUUUUUUUCCAAGCUGCACAAGUUGUUUUACAUAAGAUCCUGGCGGGAAGGCGGCAUGUUGGGUGAUGCGCACCCAGAUGCAGUGCUGAAAGUCACAGAGAGAUGAAUUGGGUGGAAGUGGUAUGGGACAUUAUGUAAUCCCUGAGUGAUGGAGCCAGAGAGGGAUAAAGAUGUUCCAAACAAACAUAACCCCCCUGCUCUCAGCUGGAGUAAUGCACUGCAACAUGGUGUGUACGUGUUUGCUCGUGCUUUUGUACAAAUGAAGAGGGUAAAAAAACAGAAAGUGUGCACCAGUGUUUUUGGGUGUGUCCGUUGUGUGACUGGCUGGUCUCUGAGUCUGUGGCUCCAGUCUGUUCCAGUCUCAGGGGACUGUGGGUCUAUGAGUGCUGCUGCUGCUGCUCUUCUCCUCCCUCUCUGUGUUGUCUCUCCUUCCUCUCCUGGGUCCAGCUCAACACCUGCUCCUUGGGCAGGGCAGGGUUCCUAAGCAACAGAAGGAAACGCCAAGACUUCAUUGGUUCUUUGUUUGUCACUUGCUCUUCCUCGGUUAUCACUCUGACAUACUCACUCCAUUCCAAACACAAACAGAAAUGAUCAAUAUCAGAAAGUAUUCACUUUCUGUACUUUUUUGUACUUACCUGGAACCUUUUUGUUCAUGUGCCAUGCCACUGUAAAUGUUUAACUCCAAUUUGUGUGCCGUGGCGCUUCUUUUCUCGCCACUGAUCAAAGUCUAAGGAAAAAAAUUAUGAUUAUCGACCGUCUCCAGACUGCUCCACAGAAUGUUUUGUUACUAUUAUUUGUGUCUCCUGAGCUUCUGAACACCUGAGUCGGACUUUCUGACAUACUUCAGGGGACCACCUUUGCAGUGGUAAGAUUGUUUAUUUAGCAAAAAGCAAACACAUUUGUCUGAAACGCCAAACAUGUUACACCAAAUUACUUCUGUGAGACAAAAGUGGUGGUUCCUCUUCUCCCGUGUGGUUUGGAGAAUAAUGAACCCCUUUACGUCCCCCCUCUGCUGUCUAUGAGCCGUAUGGCCCUAAUGGGGUCAGGCAGAUGGGUGGGGACAUGCUUGAGUUCAGACAGCUUGUGUGUUUGUUUUUUUGUUUGUUAUCAGAAGCACAUGUGUGAGAUGGGUUAUUUUAAGAUUAUUUAGAUAAGAUGUUCAAAGUUGAAGGUGAUGUUGGACCUCAGAUUUUAAGUUUUCACCUAAAAUGAUCCUGAAACGGCGUCCUUUUUUAGUUCCUCCCUUAAUGGCUCCAGUUUGAAGUUCUUACUGCUCUCAUACUGUGCACUUGAAUGCACCACGUCGAAGCCUGAAAAGACCGGGCAGCACUGUGAGGAAUAUUGCUGUUGCCUCUGUGCCUCCCUCCUGUUUCUGGACAUUGUACUGCGUUAAUGAUUGCACCCUUUGACCCGCCCAGCUCCAUGUCUGCUGGGGGAUUUUUGAAAUGAGGCCAAUGUGCCACAUUGUCAUGAUAUGCGAGUUAAAAUUAAGGAUGUGAAUACCGGCCUUUUACAUAUAUACAUGUUUCAAUGAAAAGUGUGCUACAAAAGGUAGAAAAUGUAUUUAGUUUCUCUGUUAUUACAUGGAGGUUGUCGCCCUGUAUUCCACCUCCACAUGCGGUUGUGAGGCGUGCUCGCGCGGCUCAGUUGGUCAACUCAAGUCCGAGCCUCGUUGUAAGACUCCACCCAUUUACGAGCGUCGGACACCUUCAGCAGCACAACAAAGCAUGUGUGGCUCCGCAACGUUGUUUCUCCUCUGAACGUGCCGAAUAUAGGAUUUUAUCGGAUUUUAUGCUGGUUUCCUUCCCAUUGAUGCAAAUACUAGAGUAGGUAAGCCAUAUUUAAGAUGUAUGUUCCUCACGCGCUGGGGAUGAGUUAGUGUUUAUUUGUUUAGUUGUACAUUCGGCGCCAUUUUCAUACACAGAUUCAUUUAAAUACCCAGGCACGCUGGGACCGAUAUAGGCUAGCCUAUAACUGUUAUAUGUUUUGGUUAAAAAAAAAAAAUCGAAAUAUCGACCAUUUAAGUGAUGCUACCAUUAGUAUUUUAAAUACCACCUGCUUAAGCAAAUUAAAUAUAUAUUUAUUAUCUAUAUUUCCCGACUUAAAGAGCCCGGUAUAGUCUUACUCAUCCCCACAAAUCAAAAGUGGUUCGUGUGAACGGAGGCAGCGAGGAGCUCUCUACAUGUGAGCUGUUUUUGUGAAAAUGAAUGGGCAGGCGAUUUGUUUUUUCUUAACAGAGGAUGUAUAUUUACUACAGAGGGAAAUUCACAUUUCGUUUAACAUAUUUUUUUAACCAAUAAGUUGUACGUUAUAGUACUUUAAUGAUAAAUUAAUUCGAAACAUCAAGGUGAAUCCUUUUACUGUGUUUUGACUCACAGCAAGGUUAAAUACAGUAAAGUGGUUUGAAAUUUUAUUAUAUGAAUUCUUUUUUUUUUCUUUUUACUUAUUGAAGGUGACAUUAAAGGGAUAUUUCCCCCUUUAACCAUUCAUAUGUGAAACUGUUACCCCUGCACUUGUGUCUCCUGUUUGGAUGUUCUUGGUCUCAUUGCUUCUCUGUGAUGUGCCUUGCUGCUAUAUUUCCAGAACAUGUCUGCCCAGAUUUACAGAUGUUGUUUUUCCUGUGCUGUUACAGACAUGUCAUGGCUGUGGCUUUCAUUUUCUGCUUGACAUGACUUGAUUUUACCCCAAGAGGAAAGCAUGGGUUAAAAAUAUCCAUCUUCAUCGGAGGGCAGCAUAUGUGAAUGUGUGACUGUGUGCAGGCUCCUCCUAAGAGAAACUCAUCCAAUAAGCCUCAUCUCCAUUGAUGAUAGCUCUGGAUAUAUUUAGGCAGAUAAUCUUUUAUGGAGCGCUGCAGAUGUGACGUAGGGAGGACAAGACAGAGGCAGUAUUAGAGCGACGUGACUGCCAAGUGCUUACAUGAGCAGCAGAGGUAAACACAGAGGUUACAAUAUGAUGAGACCCAACUGCAUAGGGUCUCCUCCUGUUGUAGUGCUGCUGAAUCAGCAGGGUUGUAAACACAGAGCAGCAGGAGUAGUGGUGCUGAAGGAUGUUUUUGGCUCUGCUGUGUGAGAGUGGGGUCAACAGGGUCCCAGAAGAGCUUGCUGUUAAUCCUCUUUUGGGAGUUAUGAUGCAUUUGUGCAGUUAGACUACUACUCUGUUGUGUGAGCGCUACUUAACAGGGAAAUGACUCCUCAUACUGUAAACAGUCCUCUGCACUGUUCCUUAUCAAUGGGGGAGUCUUCUGAUUUGACUUCCUAAAGGCUGUUAACAAUCACACUUGGACUUGGUCUUUACACCAGUAGUUCUUAUAUCAAAUAGUACAAUCAUUUCAUUAGGAUAAAGUAAAUAUAAUUCACUUUACUCUUCAACAUUGAGCAAAUUGCUCCGACCAUUUAGAUCUGAAUUUUUGUUUGUGUCCAACAUAGAAGAGACACCCGUGUCGUCAUGUAAGCUUUCUAAUACUCAAUUCUUUCAGUGGCUGGGGUGAUGCUUUCAGAGGCUGUAGAGGAGCUUUUAGGGAAACCGCAGUAAAUCAAUCAGGCUACUUCAUUCUUUUCCCAUGUUGGUUCAUGUUACAGCAUCAGAUUCACACACCAUCUGUGAGUAUUGAUUAGUGGAGGAGUGGGUUUGGAUCUGUUUACCCUGAGGACUUGGCUGAAAUAAACCUGAGUUGCCCCAUGUAUUUUUGUUGAGAUUUAAUAGUAGGUACCUCAACAAAAAUAUGUAUAUUCUUCAUGUAGAAAACAUAUUAACAGAACUUCAUCCAAAUUUUAGUUUGUUUUAUUCCUUAACUUUGGGUUAUUUGAUAAGAUUAAAAAACAUAUUCUGCGGUAUGCUCCAAAAAUAGCUGAUUAAUUCAUCAGCCUAAUCAGAGACAAAUAAUCUCAAAUUAGUUUCAAAAUAAAGUUUGGAUACUAUUUUUUUUAAGUUUGAAAUCAGCCUGUUCCUGCUUCCUGAAUGUGAGGUUAUGCUACUCUUCUUUGUCUUUUAUGACCUGAACAUAAGGAGCAGUUUUGUAGAGCCUGAAAACUUAAAGUAGCAUUUAUGUAUUUAUUUUGUGGCGUGAAUCAUUAAUUUAUUAACUGCUUAAACAAGCUUAUCAAUGGAUAAUAAAGAGGCCCUGUUACACACACUGUGAUGAGUGUUUUCACGGUGUUCCCAUCUUCAGUGAAGAACCAUGGUGUUGCUGGGCAGGCUUGUGUGCAGCAGCAGAACAUACAAACAAUUCUGCGAGGCACGUGUUAGCGUGUACGUUGGCAUGUGUAUCUGUGUUUACUUAGAGAGGUUAAUAGGAGCCGCCAUGUGGCCAGAGGACUGAUAUCUUGGCCUUAGGUUCAUUUCUGUUGAUUUUCAGCCAGGUAGGAGGGGCUCCGAAUAAAACCAUGAAUCAGCACAGCAGCACUGUUCUUCUGCCAGCUUUUCUCUCUCUCCCACACACACUGAAGCACGCACACCAGACUGAGGGGCAGGGAGAGAAUCAGAGCGGAGAGACAGUGAGAUGGAUACUGUAGGCAGGUAGAUAGAUGGAGAUAAUCUCACUUGGUCACUCGGGGGCUGAUUAACUCUAAACUCCUUCUAAUUCCUUAAGCCUACUCUCAGUACCCAGGAAACAUGCUUUCUUCAAGUCUUACUAUUCCUACACAGUAAUGUUAUUUUAAAUCUCAUGUAACAUGAUUCCAGAGGUGGGGAUGAAGGAGCACCCAAAUCACCUCCAGGAAAUAAAAUCUCUCCUCUGUCUUCUGCUAACAGUCUAGUAAUGGGUGCAAUUGCGGCUGUGCACACUUGUAUGCACAUGUGCAUAUGCGUGUUGUGUGCUGUGAACAGAAAUAGAUAUGAGCUUGUCUGUAAAGUCUAACUAAUGAGUCCCUGCAUCCUGAGCACACAUGGCUAUUUAUACUUUACCUCCUCCUCCUCUGCAAGCUCCUUCCUAUUCUAGCCUUGCUGUCUUAUUUCAUCACACAAAUAUCCACCUGCUAGCACGCACCUCUGCAUCACCGGCAACAAUACAAGGACUCUGAUGUCUAGACAAACUAAGGAGUCAGAUUAACACGGAAACAAAGUGAGUUUUGGGGUUAGUCGCGGUCAAGUCGUUGGGGUAGCAUUAAUGCAAAACAGGGAUGGAGAAUAAAUCGAUACAGCAUAAUAUCGCUGUAUUUUGUCUGGUGAUAAAUCGUAUCGUCUCAUUUACCAAGUAUCAAUUUUUCAAAUUAAUAGCUAAUAUGAAGUCAAAUCUAUGAUAAUGAAAAAAUAAAAUCAACAGUUUGUCCAGUGAGGUUAGCAGAAGUAACAUCAUAGAGCAGGAGAAAGUUAGUACAACAAAUACAUAUAAGGUUUGCAAGAUGUACUACAUGAAAAUAAAAUACAGGGUAAAUACAGGGUGCUAAAUUAGCUUAACAGUUGAAAAAAUGUAGUAAAUCACAAUAUAUUGUAUCACAAUACUCACUGUAUUUCAAAAUGUAAAAAAUCACAAUAAUAUUGUAUCAUGGCCCAAGUAUCGUGAUAAUAUCGUAUCUUGGGGACACUAGUGAUUCCCAUCCCUAGUGCAAAAGUUUCAAAUGAAGUGAGUCUCACACUGUUUCUGUUGAUAUAAUUCAAACAAACAAAAAAAGCAUUUUACAUGGUAGUCAAACUAAAAGGUUACCCCCUCACUAGGUCAAAUUUCCAACUAUUCUCACGCUUGAACAUUAAUUCAGUGUCACGUUGACUUUAAAUUAGAUCCUUAUUCAACUCAAGCCCCCGUGUUUGCAUCUGAUCCAGCCGCUCCUUGCUAGAGGGUGGCCUACUUCAUCUAUUAUUCAGUUCAUUAGAGGCUCUAAUUAUGUAGGAUCAAGGGCAGUAUUCCUUUUUUUUAUACAGCAAUAUUUCAUCUAAUUAACUCCACACCAGAAACAGAAACACAUUGGGUGUAAUAAGAGAUGGAUGCUGCUGUGGCGUGGCCGCUGCUUUUUCAUUUAGUCAUGAUGAUGCAGGUUGGUCCAGCUCAGCUGGCCGACAGCAGAGAUGUUAGAGAGGCAACACAAAAUGGAGGAGGCAGCAGACACAAGCUCAGCUGGUCCAUUAGAAGCAUGUCUGUUUCCUGACAAUCACAAUUGAGAUGACAGAGCAUUAAAAGACCCAGAGGAGCCCGUGAGCAAUGAUGCAUACCAGUGUAUGUAUGUGUGUGUGUGUGUGUGUGUGAGUGUGUGUGUGUUUGUGUGGUGACCUAGGGAAUAUGCCUAUGGGGGGUCUUGUGGGGGGAAGGGUAGCAGGAUUAGUCAUAGUGAACGGCACAGUUAUUGGUCACUGGACACAAACAAUGGGAGGGCUAAAGAGGAUUUUGUCUGUGUGCGUACCCCUCCCUCCUUCCCCUCUUCUUCCUCCUCCUCCUCUCCUGCUGUCCUACAGUGCCAGUAGGAAGUAUAUGGUAUGGAGAGCCAGGCUGCACCCUUUGGGGCAGCGUGGUACAUCUGGAAGAUUGGCCUGUCUGCCUGUCUGUUAUCCCCCCUCCCCCCUCUCCUCACAAGGCAGGGUGCGACUUAAACUACAUAUGGGAGAGACAAACACGGCCACAUUCAUCACCAAUUAGACAGGUCCCGCCUCAGACUGGAUGCAAAUGAGUCAAUCAGUUUUUGUCUUUAAUGAGAGUGUAACUGGCGACUCGGAGUCAAACCAGGUUUUGGUGUGAUUGCGUAAUAAGUGUGGUGUAUUUCAGUCAGUUGUGUGAUUUAAUCAGCUGGUUAGAAGUUUCUAAAUAUACCCGAUCUGUGUCCUCCUGCUGCCACACCAGGGAAUCAAAGCUGGGUUCAUUAAACUCCGAAGACCCUGUACUGUCAAUUUCACUCACAUCAGUGUAUCAUGAGCAUUUUAUACUAACUGAGAGGGGUUCAAAAGGAGAUCAUGAAACAUUUCUGCAUUUAUUAACAAAAGUGUUGUUUAUCUUAUUGAUUUUGAAGUUAACAGAGUACAUCACAAUACACACACAUCACCUCCCUCCUCUCUUUCUACCAUUCCUCCAUCAAUAUUAAGAUGAAAUUAAAGCUAUAUCUCGUAUUAUGAUUCCUUGAAUAUUAUUGUGAUGAAGAAUACAUUAGACAAAUUUCAUUUAUUGCACGAGGAUAUGCUGAUCUGUGAGAGCUAAGCUAAUGUCAGCUAGUAGGCAAACUGCCCAAAUGUUUUUUUUCUAAAACCAAACAUCCAGUUUUUCAGAAAUUUUGUUCAAACCUGAUUAAGAAACUGCAUUAAAAUAACCAGAAAGAAACUGUCUGUUUAGCCUUUUAAGCAUCACCCACCAUGAAUAAGAUUUAGAAUAGAGUAUAGACUAGAAAAAAAAUCCUAUAUUGCUAUUCUGGACUUCAGUCUGCCUGUUUGCAGCUUUGUCUGCAGCCCAUUCACAAAGAAUCAUGAACAAUGGAUUAAUCUUUUUAUGAUGCCAUGAUAUAUCUCAUUACUUCCUCGGUUGUAAUGCUCUGGCUGACAUGUGUAGGCUGGCUGUGGGUGAGCUGAAGAGCUGGGCAUGCUUGUUGAGGAUGAUCCAGAGCAGGCGUUGCUAAUAUGAAGCUUGAGUACAGAAAGCCUCCUUUGUCUCUUUGGGAUUUAAUGAGUCUGUGAUAGUGUUGUGAGCCGGCCCUGAGAGCUCCAUGUAGACACAGUCUCCAACAAGGAGGGCUAUUGUGUGAUGAGGUGAUGUUUGUGUAUGUGUGUGUGUUAAGUAUGUGUCCUUAUAAUCUGUGGGUGGCAGUUGGCUUCAGGUCUGAUGGAAAAGGGGCUCAUUUAUGUCAUUUGAAGUGGGCAACUCACAAUACUGUGUUGUAUUGUUGUGGUGAAUAGUUUUUGAUCUGAGCUUCAUUUGAAAUGGCUUCAUGUGAGUACGCAUACAGAAAACUUUAAUAACAGUAUCUACAAUUUUAUACAGUGCUUAUGUCUAUAUAACUGCUGUUUACAAAAUCAAUAGUUUGAUUUUAAUUUUGUAGUUCCCACUUAUGAU